UGCCGGACCUGACUGCUAUCGGAUUGAUACUAAGCCAUGCGAGUCAUUGUAGCAAUACAAGGCAGACGGCUCAGUAACGCGUAGUCAAUCUACCCUAUGGACGGAGAUAAUCUCGGGAAACUGAGAAUAAUAUCCGAUAGAACAUUAUGCCUGGAAUGGUUUAUGUUUCAAAUGAUUUAUCGCCAUAGGAUGGGACUGCGUCCUAUCAGUUUGUUGGUGAGGUAAUGGCCCACCAAGACUAUUACAGGUACGGGCUCUGAGAGGAGUAGCCCGGAGAUGGGUACUGAGACACGGACCCAGGCCCUAUGGGGCGCAGCAGGCGAGAAAACUUUGCAAUGUGCGAAAGCACGACAAGGUUAAUCCGAGUGGUUUCUGCUAAAGAAACCUUUUGUCAGUCCUAGAAACACUAACGAAUAAGGGGUGGGCAAGUUCUGGUGUCAGCCGCCGCGGUAAAACCAGCACCUCAAGUGGUCAGGAUGAUUAUUGGGCCUAAAGCAUCCGUAGCUUGCUUUGUAAGUUCUCGGUUAAAUCCAUGCGCUUAACGUAUGGGCUGCCGGCAAUACUGCAAAGCUAGGGAGUGGGAGAGGUAGACGGUACUCGGUAGGAAGGAGUAAAAUCCUUUGAUCUAUUGAUGACCACCUGUGGCGAAGGCGGUCUACCAGAACACGUCCGACGGUGAGGGAUGAAAGCUGGGGGAGCAAACCGGAUUAGAUACCCGGGUAGUCCCAGCUGUAAACUAUGCAAACUCAGUGAUGCAUUGGCUUAUGGCCAAUGCAGUGCUGCAGGGAAGCCGUUAAGUUUGCCUCCUGGGAAGUACGUACGCAAGUAUGAAACUUAAAGGAAUUGGCGGGGGAGCACCACAAGGGGUGAAGCCUGCGGUUCAAUUGGAUUCAACGCC
This 898-nucleotide ribosomal RNA is filed under the name uncultured archaeon. Its description in RNAcentral is "bacterial SSU rRNA". It matches the Rfam family "Archaeal small subunit ribosomal RNA", at positions 15 to 919 of the family's 1478-position model. The record is from RNAcentral.